This 253-nucleotide ribosomal RNA is filed under the name uncultured bacterium. RNAcentral's name for it is "partial 16S ribosomal RNA". It matches the Rfam family "Bacterial small subunit ribosomal RNA", at positions 524 to 776 of the family's 1533-position model. The record is from RNAcentral.
UACGGAGGGUGCAAACGUUGCUCGGAAUCAUUGGGCGUAAAGCGAACGUAGGCGGCUAUGUAAGUCGGGUGUGAAAGCCCUCGGCUCAACCGAGGAAGUGCAUUCGAAACUGCAUGGCUUGAGUAUCGGAGAGGAUAGCGGAAUUCCCGGUGUAGAGGUGAAAUUCGUAGAUAUCGGGAGGAACACCAGUGGCGAAGGCGGCGAUCUGGGAAGAUACUGACGCUGAGGUGCGAAAGCGUGGGGAGCAAACAGG